UAAGGGCAUAUGACGGAUACCUUGGCAUACAGGCUGAUGAAGGACGUGACUAGCUGCGAUAAGCUUCGGGUAGCUGCUAACAAGCGUUUAACCGGAGAUUUCCGAAUGGGGCAACCUAUAUAGGGUUAUGCCUAUAUAUCCUUAUCUGAACACAUAGGGUAANGAANGGAACCUGGNGAACUGAAACAUCUAAGUAACCAGAGGAAAAAAAAUCAAUUGAGAUUCCCUUAGUAGCGGCGAGCGAAACGGGAAUAGCCCAAACCUUAUAGUUGUAAGUAUGAAGACGUUGACUAUAGGGGGUUGUAGGAUACUUUAUUAUUUUGCUUCAUCAAGAUAGACAAGUUACAAAAAUUUAGCUUAGUAGAAUGUUCUGGAAAGAACUCCCAUAGAAGGUGAUAGGCCUGUAUACGAAAAGUUAAGUUCUUGUCAAAGUAUUCCUGAGUACUACGGGACACGAGAAAUCCUGUAGGAAUCUAGGUGGACCAUCAUCUAAGGCUAAAUACCAUUGUAUGACCGAUAGUGAACUAGUACCGUGAGGGAAAGGUGAAAAGAACCCCGGGAGGGGAGUGAAAUAGAACAUGAAACCAUAUGCUUACAAGCAAUCGGAGGUUUCUUAUGAAACUGACGGUGUGCCUAUUGAAGAAUGUGCCGGCGACUUAAUGUAUGUGGCGAGGUUAAGUAAAUACGGAGCCGUAGCGAAAGCGAGUCUGAAUAGGGCGUUUAGUCUCAUGCAUUAGACCCGAAACCCAGUGAUCUAUCCAUGGGCAGGAUGAAGCGUGAGUAACAUCACGUGGAGGUCCGAACCAGUAAGUGUUGAAAAACUUUUGGAUGACCUGUGGAUAGCGGUGAAAUGCCAAACGAACUGGGAGAUAGCUGGCUCUCCUCGAAAUGACUUUAGGGUCAGCCUUGAGGUUAGGCGCUUGGAGGUAGAGCACUGUUUAGGCUAGGGGUGUCACCAACAUUACCAAACCUAGGCAAACUCCGAAUGCCAAGUUGCUAUACUCAAGAGUGAGUCUUAGGGGGCUAAGCUCCUAGGACAAAAGGGAAACAACCCAGACCGUCAGCUAAGGUCCCUAAAUAUAUACUAAGUGGGAAAGGAUGUGGGGUUACUUAAACAACUAGGAGGUUGGCUUAGAAGCAGCCACCCUUUAAAGAAAGCGUAAUAGCUCACUAGUCGAGUGAUCCUGCGCCGAAAAUGUAACGGGGCUCAAGUAUAUUACCGAAGCUACGGGAUUUUUAUUAAUCGGUAGAGGAGCGUUCCGUAGUAGGUUGAAGUCAAACUGAGAAGUUUGGUGGACGAAGCGGAAGUGAGAAUGUCGGCAUAAGUAACGAAAAAAUAAGUGAGAAUCUUAUUCGCCGAAAGCCUAAGGUUUCCUGGGGAAGGCUCGUCCGCCCAGGGUUAGUCGGUCCUAAGUCGAGGUCGAAAGACGUAGUCGAUGGACAACAGGUUAAUAUUCCUGUACUACCAUUAUUUCGUUAUUAGCGAUGGAGUGACGCAGUAGGAUAGAUCAGCCACUUAUUGGAUUGUGGUUUAAGCUUGUAGGAAGGAAAGAUUGGCAAAUCCGUUUUUCUAUAUUCCGAGAAGUGAAUACGACCUGCUUGCAGGGAAGUGAUUGAUUCCACACUGACUAGAAAAACUUCUAGUGAGAAAUAAAGGUAACCGUACUAAAACCGACACAGGUAGGCAAGUAGAAAAUACUAAGGCGCGCGGGAUAACUCUCGUUAAGGAACUCGGCAAAAUAGCCUCGUAACUUCGGGAUAAGAGGUGCCUAAUUAUUGUGAUCACCCUCGCGGUGUGAGCAAGAAUAGGUUGCAAUGAAAUGGCUCAAGCGACUGUUUACCAAAAACACAGGUCUCUGCUAAACCGUAAGGUGAUGUAUAGGGGCUGACGCCUGCCCAGUGCUGGAAGGUUAAAGGGAGGUGUCAAUCUUUCGAGAUGAAGCACCGAACUGAAGCCCCAGUGAACGGCGGCCGUAACUAUAACGGUCCUAAGGUAGCGAAAUUCCUUGUCGG
This 2013-nucleotide ribosomal RNA is filed under the name metagenome. RNAcentral's name for it is "bacterial LSU rRNA". It matches the Rfam family "Bacterial large subunit ribosomal RNA", at positions 12 to 1975 of the family's 2925-position model. The record is from RNAcentral.